UGACACUUUCCCCUCAUCGGAUCAUUGUUUACAUCAAACGGAGAGUUACAGAGGAAGUAUCUUUUAUAAGUUUAAUGGCGUAAAAAUGGUGAUAUUUGCUGUUACGUACGUCUCUUGGAGGAGGGAACGCAACACCCUGCUACAACUCAACUCCCCGUGGAGUGAAAAAGGUAUGAACCCUUGGACAUACAGGUACCUCCAGCGCUCCCUCCUGCCUCACAUUCGGCCCCUGUCCCUGGUGAUCUACCCCAGGCCCUCUUGUAUCCACCCCAGGCUUCUGAACUUGCCCCAGUGGGGUGAAGACCAGAAGAGGGUGAUGUCCUUCCUGCCUCUCUCUCUCUCUCCCUUAAAUGCAGCUGGUGAUUCCAGAGAUCUGGCGGGCAUCUCUCAACAAGAAGCAGCAGUGGAUUGACCAGAUGCUGUUUACCAGGAGCCUCCUACAGAGCUCACAGUCCAUCACUGUCCUUUCCCUGGUGGGGUGAAGACCAGAAGAGGGUGAUGUCCUUCCUGUCUCCAAGGCCUGCCUCAGAGUGUGCUGGGGUGAGUU
Long non-coding RNA from Salvelinus namaycush (lake trout), 547 nucleotides. RefSeq lists it as uncharacterized. Lineage: Eukaryota; Metazoa; Chordata; Actinopteri; Salmoniformes; Salmonidae. The record is from RefSeq and is a predicted model, not a curated record. The transcript is spliced from 3 exons.